Molecule: long non-coding RNA, 459 nt
Organism: Salmo salar (Atlantic salmon)
Lineage: Eukaryota; Metazoa; Chordata; Actinopteri; Salmoniformes; Salmonidae
Source: RefSeq, a predicted model, not a curated record
UUCUGGUACUGUCUGAAAAAUGACAGUCAUAUCUUUUCUGGUUUACAAGGGAGAGGCCACAGCAGAGCAUCUAUCACUUUAAACACAUCUCAUACCUGUGUGAUGAGGUAGCCUUAGCCUGACCUCAUCACCAUUUUAAAAGGGGUUCAGCAGCGACACUGGUGUCAGGAAGUUUAUGGAGCAUCAGCCCCCCUGUUGGAAAGCCAGAGGUAGAUUUCCUCAGCCUUCACAAGCAUCUUCUGGUGACACCAUGGGUUGCCAACGAGGAGGUGAACACCGAGAAGGAUUCCACAGAGAAUGUAGACCUCAACCAGCUAGGCACUAUUCACCAAGGAGUAAUGUGACUGGAGAUUAAAUCUGAGCAACUCACUCUGAGCAACACCAACAGCAAGGACAACCGUAACAAAGAUGUCCUCCCCCUGCAAGAGAGGACGGAGCUGGAGGCAAAUAGCCAAAGAA